This 548-nucleotide ribosomal RNA is filed under the name uncultured Glomeromycotina. Its description in RNAcentral is "SSU rRNA". It matches the Rfam family "Eukaryotic small subunit ribosomal RNA", at positions 548 to 1098 of the family's 1831-position model. Lineage: Eukaryota; Fungi; Glomeromycota. The record is from RNAcentral.
UUGGAGGGCAAGUCUGGUGCCAGCAGCCGCGGUAAUUCCAGCUCCAAUAGCGUAUAUUAAAGUUGUUGCAGUUAAAAAGCUCGUAGUUGAAUUUCGAGAUCAAUUUGUCGGUCGUGCCUCGGUACGUACUGGCAUUAUUGAUUUCUCCCUUCUGAAGAACCGCGAUGUCAUUAAUUUGGUGUCGUGGGGAAUCAGGACUGUUACUUUGAAAAAAUUAGAGUGUUUAAAGCAGGCGCACGUUUGAAUACAUUAGCAUGGAAUAAUGAAAUAGGACGUUUGAUUCUAUUUUGUUGGUUUCUAGGAUCGACGUAAUGAUUAAUAGGGAUAGUUGGGGGCAUUAGUAUUCAAUUGUCAGAGGUGAAAUUCUUGGAUUUAUUGAAGACUAACUACUGCGAAAGCAUUUGCCAAGGAUGUUUUCAUUAAUCAAGAACGAAAGUUAGGGGAUCGAAGACGAUCAGAUACCGUCGUAGUCUUAACCAUAAACUAUGCCGACUAGGGAUCGGAUGAUGUUAAUUUUUUAAUGACUCAUUCGGCGCCUUACGGGAAAC